Molecule: ribosomal RNA, 1726 nt
Filed under: Moryella indoligenes
Lineage: Bacteria; Bacillati; Bacillota; Clostridia; Lachnospirales; Lachnospiraceae
Description: partial 23S ribosomal RNA
Rfam family: Bacterial large subunit ribosomal RNA
Source: RNAcentral
GUACAACCGCGUACUUUUUGUAGAACGGUCCGGCGAGUUGCCGGUGCUGGCGAGGUUAAGGACUAAAGGUCCGGAGCCGAAGGGAAACCGAGUCUUAAUAGGGCGUAAAGUCAGCAGCGGCAGACCCGAAACCGGGUGAUCUAUCCAUGUCCAGGUUGAAGUUCCCGUAAAAGGGAAUGGAGGACCGAACGCACAUCCGUUGAAAAGGGUGGCGAUGAGGUGUGGAUAGGGGAGAAAUUCCAAUCGAACCCGGAGAUAGCUGGUUCUCCUCGAAAUAGCUUUAGGGCUAGCCUCGAUUUAGUCAGACGGAGGUAGAGCACUGAAUUCCUGAGGGGGCGUCAAAGUCUGCCAAGGGAUAUCAAACUGCGAAUGCCGUGCUGAUGGUGAUCGGGAGUCAGACUGUACGAGAUAAGUUGGACAGUCAAAAGGGAAAGAGCCCAGACCUGCAGCUAAGGUCCCAAAAUACGUGUUAAGUGGAAAAGGAUGUGGGAUUUCGAAGACAACUAGGAUGUUGGCUCAGAAGCAGCCACACAUUCAAAGAGUGCGUAAUAGCUCACUAGUCGAGAGGUCCUGCGCCGAAAAUUUCCGGGGCUGAAACACGAUACCGAAGCUCAGGAGUGUGUAAAAGCACACUGGUAGAGGAGCAAUCUCAACGCGCAGAAGCAGUACCGAUAAGGAGCUGUGGAGUGUUGAGAAGAGAGAAUGCCGGAAUGAGUAGCGAGAAUGAUGUGAGAAUCAUCAUGGCCGAAUAUCCAAGGAUUCCAGGGUAAAGCUGAUCUGCCCUGGGUAAGUCGGGACCUAAGGCAAGGACGAGAGUCGUAGUCGAUGGACAGCUGGUUCAGAUUCCAGCACCUGACAUGAUCAGAACUGUGGGGACACAGAGACGUAACCGGACCCGGGAGAGCAAAGACCGGGCCAAGCGAAGUAGGUGUGCGGAAGGCAAAUCCGCCGCACAAGCCGAAGACGUUAAGGGGAGCGAAAUCAAGUAGCGAAGCCGGUGACCGUAACUGUCAAGAAAAGCCGCUAUUGUAUCAUGUCAGCCCGUACCGCAAACCGACACAGGUGGAUGAGGAGAGAAUCCUAAGGCCGGCGGGAGAAGCAUUGUUAAGGAACUCGGCAAAAUGACCCCGUAACUUCGGGAGAAGGGGUGCUGCAGAGAUGCAGCCGCAGAGAAAAGGCUCAAGCAACUGUUUAGCAAAAACACAGGUCUAUGCGAAACCGUAAGGUGAAGUAUAUGGGCUGACGCCUGCCCGGUGCUGGAAGGUUAAGAGGAGAGGUCAGCGGGGAAACCCGCGAAGCUUUGAAUUUAAGCCCCAGUAAACGGCGGCCGUAACUAUAACGGUCCUAAGGUAGCGAAAUUCCUUGUCGGGUAAGUUCCGACCCGCACGAAAGGCGUAAUGAUUUGAGCGCUGUCUCAACAAUGCACCCGGUGAAAUUGAAGUACCAGUGAAGAUGCUGGUGACCUGCGCCAGGACGGAAAGACCCCAUGGAGCUUUACUCUAGUUUGAUACCGGGAUCCGGUGUUACUCGUACAGGAUAGGUGGGAGGCUACGAAGUAUGGACGCCAGUCUAUACGGAGCCGCUGUUGGGAUACCACCCCUGUGGCACUGGGUUUCUAACCUGCGUCCAUCAUCUGGACGGGGGACAAUGUCAGAUGGGGAGUUUGACUGGGGCGGUCGCCUCCGAAAGAGUAUCGGAGGCGCUCAAAGGUUCCCUCAGAAUGGUU